Molecule: ribosomal RNA, 253 nt
Filed under: uncultured bacterium
Lineage: Bacteria
Description: partial 16S ribosomal RNA
Rfam family: Bacterial small subunit ribosomal RNA
Source: RNAcentral
UACGUAGGGUGCAAGCGUUGUCCGGAAUUAUUGGGCGUAAAGAGCUCGUAGGCGGUCUGUCGCGUCGGCUGUGAAAACCCGGGGCUCAACCCCGGGCCUGCAGUCGAUACGGGCAGACUAGAGUGCGGUAGGGGAGACUGGAAUUCCUGGUGUAGCGGUGAAAUGCGCAGAUAUCAGGAAGAACACCCGUGGCGAAAGCGGCUCUCUGGAACGGUACUGACGCUGAGACGCGAAAGCGUGGGGAGCGAACAGG